Molecule: ribosomal RNA, 444 nt
Filed under: Triticum aestivum (bread wheat)
Lineage: Eukaryota; Viridiplantae; Streptophyta; Magnoliopsida; Poales; Poaceae
Description: partial small subunit ribosomal RNA
Source: RNAcentral
AUGAUUGCUGGGUAUAACCAAUGCAAUCUCCUAAUGGCCUUGCAACUUCUUUCUGACAUUAACCUUAAGCCCAACUGCUUCACCCUGACUAGCAUUGCAUCUGCAUGUGCUAGUAUUGCAGCUCUGAGACUUGGGAGUUGGGAAGCAGGUCCAUGGGGCUUUCCGAAACCUAAGAAAGAUGUUUACGUGUGUGCCAUCGAUCUCCUUGCUCGUGCAGGGACGCUGAGACAUGCAUUUGACCCUAUUGAUAAAAUGCAAUUUGCUCCUGAUGAAUCUUUUUGCGGAGCAUUAGUUGCCUGCAAGAUGCACAGGAAUGUGGAGCUGGGCAGCUUGGUUGCAAGGAAGAUCAUCGAGGUCAAUCCUGAUGGAGCAAAGAAUUACGUCCUACUUGAUAUGCUGCAGGUAGCAAAUGGGGUGAGUAUGGUGUCACGAGGAGGCUACUGA